Hyla sarda is the source of this 70-nucleotide small nucleolar RNA. NCBI's taxonomy places the organism in Eukaryota, Metazoa, Chordata, Amphibia, Anura, Hylidae. The record is from RefSeq and is a predicted model, not a curated record.
ACGGAUGUGAUGCACACAUUGUAUACCUGAUACUCAGUGAGGGUUCUUGUAUUCAUACUGUCUGAUCCUG